CAGCCGCCGCGGUAAUACCGGCGGCCCGAGUGGCGGUCACUAUUAUUGGGCUUAAAACGUCCGUAGCCGGGUUGGGAAGUCCUCCGGGAAAUCUGGCCGCUUAAAGGUCAGAAUGCCGGAGGAUACUCCCAGCCUAGGGAGCGGGAGAGGCCGAGGGUAUUCCCGGGGUAGGGGUGAAAUCCUAUAAUCCCGGGAGGACCACCUGUGGCGAAGGCGCUCGGCUGGAACGCGUCCGACGGUGAGGGACGAAGGCCAGGGGAGUAAACCGGAUUAGAUACCCGGGUAGUCCUGGCUGUAAACGAUGCGGACUUUGUGUCGGACAAGCUAUGAGCUUGUCCGGUGCCGGAGGGAAACCGUUAAGUCCGCCGCCUGGGGAGUACGGCCGCAAGGCUGAAACUUAAAGGAUUGGCGGG
Molecule: ribosomal RNA, 413 nt
Filed under: uncultured microorganism
Description: bacterial SSU rRNA
Rfam family: Archaeal small subunit ribosomal RNA
Source: RNAcentral